AGUGCAGGUGAAGGGGAUGGUAGUAACUUCCCCGCUCUGUAUGUUAAUUAAAGAAUUUGAAUGUUGUGCCAAUGUGUCAUCAUCGAACAGUUUCAGACGUGUGCUAAUCCAUGGUCAGAUCUUGACUUGUUCUACUUGACAGUGGAUUAAACAUUCAAUGUGCCAAUGUUUUGUUACACAAUAAUUACAGACUUACUUGAUGUGCUGAUGGCUGCUAUGGGAACUUAAGUUGGGUUUUGUAGCAGGACGAUGGUGGAGCUAUAACAUGAAGUGGAGAGGAGCUCUCUUACGCCUAAUCUGUUUCUUCGUGUUCUAUGACCGUCAUGUUGCGGCGCAAGUCUGGUGUCCAGUUCCAUUAAGUGUAAGUGUUGGAAACAAGACGUCCAGUGGAGGCCGUGAAGGAACACCGUACAGUGUUGAGUGUAGCAGAGGCUGCUGUCAUGGUACCAGUGAUGGCUGCUGUUAUCGGACUACGGAGGAUGUCAUCGUUUACACCGUCCCGGUGUGUGUCUGCCUAAUCAUCAUCAUUAUCAUCCUGAUCUGUAUCUUCAAAAGACUCAGAGACAAAAGAAGGCGUGAACAGCAGGAGGAAAAUAAACAUGGUCAAGAUAACCCUCCUUCUUAUUCUUCUUGCGUACAUCCGGUUUCGAGUUCAUCGACCUUAGCCUUGGCUGAAUCAGAGCACAUGGUGGAGGUAGUGAUUCACCCUCCACCCGUUGAAGAAGAAUGUGAAGGCGUCGCCCCUGUCCCCCCACCCCCAGUAUAUGACGACAUUUUCAAGAGAGUGGAAGAGGACCAAAUCGCCGUGAUUAGCCCAAGUGGACAUGUCAGCUUUGUGGACCAUACCCUCAUACCGGCCAUUAAGUAUAGCCUGAGUCAGAACGACCUCCGCAGUAAGCUGGGUGACGGGGUGCGCGCCACCAGAAGUAGCGUGUCCUUACCACAGUCUAACACGCAGGGCAACGAACUUGCUCCCUGCGAAAACAGCAGCAACCUUAAUGACGCCGCUGACCCACAGAACAAAAGCAGUAAUGGCGAUGGUGAGGGUGCUGAAAAUGGUGUCCAGAAUUAUGAAAGCAAGAUCUUCUUCUCUCUGGAGUUCCCUGACGAGGAAACGCCCUUGGAGUGAGCUCAAUAAACACCCCUAAUGACACUCAUUGUUAGUGAGUAAUGCAUAGAAACUAACACACUGGGACACCAGACGAAGUAAAUAUUAAACUUGAAAUUUAUCAAUUUACAUUCCUCUAUUCAGGGUGCACAUUCAUAGACAAAACCUGGACAAAAAAGAGACUAGAGACGGAUUCUCAAAAACGGCUCUAACGGUUUUCCCAGAAAUUUGUCACUUGAUAUAUAUCUUUUGGAAAAAGGAUUACUAACUAGUUGGCCACAGAGGGGAAAUCUAGCUUGACAGUUAUAAUUUUUUAUAGUAAAAUAAAAAAUUAAUUUAAAUUUAGCUAGAGUACUAGACAAUCUUUAUCUUGAACUGAUUACGUCUUUGGGUAUUUCCGCAUGUUGCCCCUAUUAGCGGCCCCCGAAAGGGGUAAAGACGCUAUUAGUUAUGUGUGAAAUGUCUGUCCGUCUGUCCGUCCGUCCAGUUUAGAUCUCGUAAACUAGAAAAGAUAGUGAAAAUCCGACAUCAUAAUAUUUUAGUCCAUUCAAAGUUCUGAUGCAAUGGCUACGUUUUUCUUUUCUAAAAGCAAAAAAUCUAAUUUUUUAAAUCACUUAUGCAAGCAUUUUGUUUCAUAAAAAUACACCACUUUAACAACUAUUCACUAUUAAUAGUAACAAACACUGGAGGCUCUUUAGUAGGGGAGAUCACCAUUUGCCAUAUUUGUAACACACUUAUGCAAACGUUUUUUGUUUUCCACACAAGAUCUGUCAACCUUCUUUCUCCAUUCUUCUCUCUCAUUUGUCUUUGAUCGAAUUUAAUCUUUCUGAAACUAUUGAUACCUGCCUUUUUUACCUGUCUUGGUGGACUACUUCGGGGGCCGAUUUUGAGUUUGUGUUUCCACUGAAACUGUCUUUGUAACCUUGUUCAUUAAAGAGUUUGAUAAAUUGAUGUCUAAGAACACAUUUUUCGCACCGCCUAAAUCUCGAUCUAAAGGCAUAUUAUUUACUACAUUCGCUUAACCAGGAUUUUAAAUUCUAACAUUCAUUAGUUAUCAAAAACAAAAUAAUUAUCUAUAGUGCUGUAUUGAAGAGAAACAGUCAUUUUUAAAAAGUAUAUACUUCUAUUUUUUUUGUUUUGAGUUAGUAUGACAAAGACAACAAGGAAAAUUAAGAUUUCCAAAGAUGGUCUAAACACAAAUGAAACACUAGUGUGUAGCAAAUGCAAGUAGUCUAUGAUAUUUGUGUUUUUUUUUUUUUUUUUGCAGGUAAUAUAAUCUGUAGUGAUAACAAACAAAAAUAUUAAUUGAUAUGAUUCCAAAAGACUACCAAGUAUUACCUCCUUUAGAUGACUGAUUGUAUUUUAUCUUAUGCAAACUUUAUAAAAAUAUAUCUUGAACAUUUCAUCGUUGACGGGUAGGCAAGUAUUGGCUUCGUAAUGUUCCGUAGAUCCUGCAUUCAAAAUAUUAAUAUGAGUUACGUACCCUAGUUUCGUGUUUCGCUCUAGACUACGUGAAAACGUACUUAUUGAUGACUACAUCUUAUCUUAUCUUAUAUAAUACAGACGUUACUUCAAAAAAGAAGAUGAUUACGUCAUACGCGUCAUGCAUUUAGUCAUGCAUAUUAACCAAUGACUUAAAUUCUGACAAGUCACUGGUUUUCCUGGCGGAGCUUUAACAUUGACCUUGGUUUCUUUUUUCUCAUAGGUAUGUAGAUUAAUUCAAGAAAGGGAGUGCACGCUUUUAGAAGACCAUUAUAAGCCCAUGUGGUACUAGUGUUCGGUAUUAAGUACACUUCAAACAAUUUGAAUUCUUCUGAAAAUUGUGUAAUUUUUUUUUUCGAAACCGGUACAGUUAUCAGAGUGUACGUUGCUUUUUAUUUUAUACAGUAAUUCUCUAAUUCAUAAUAGGUGUUAAUAAGUACAAUAUUCCUUCCACUUUAAGCAUUUAUUCACACUUUCUUUAGUGCGCAACUUUCUUUCGUUACAUUUUUUAAAUUACUUUUUUAUUUUUAUUUUUAAAUCGAAUUCGUAGCCGAUUAAUUUACCAAAACAAUUUUUUAAAUUAACUAUUUCAACCCAAUAUGUUUUUUAAAGUCGGCAUUUAAAUGUCUAAAGUACAAAACUGUGAUUUCUUCCACUUAAAGCACUUGGCAUUUUAUUUUGGUGCGUAACUUUCUUUCGUUCCAUUCCUUGUUUAAAUUUGUUUAUUUUUAAACAAUAUCUAUUAGAGCUAGAUAAUUGUCAGAGUGAAUGUGAAGGGUUAUAAUUAGGUCACUGUGAUUAUCAAAUGUGUUUUUACAAAGAACGUGUAUUAAAGCGUGUGUAAGGAGACAAGUACUACAGUUUGAAAAUGUUUAGACUGUAGACAGUGAUGUGUAGCAGAGACGUUUCAUUUCAAAGUGAUGUGUCCAUUGCGUGUGUGUUUUGUGAUGGGCGCGUUAUAAUGCAGGCGGUCGAGAAGGCUACAACUGAUAGGCCUUAGAAGCGUUGGUGUAUACUUUAUAUUACGGGGGUUUGAACCCUUGCCUAGUACUGGUUUCUAAUCGUUAUACGUAACAGCAAAAAAAAAUAAAAAAAAAUGGACACUUACAUCACGCGUUAAUCUGUGAUUUUCCUUCAUUGAAUCUAUGCUCUAGCCUGUGUAGUUGUUUAUUUAAUAAAUCAUUUUGUUUGGUGUCCAUUGAUGACUUAUGUUUACCGCAAUACAUUUCAUUUGGAACGAUGUAUAUAAUUACUAUUAUUAUUAUUAUUAUUAUCAGUCAUGUUUCAUAUUCACUGGUGCUGCCAGGAUUAAGAUUCUUUUAAAAUAAAUUCAUAUUUCAUUAUAGUGCUUGAAGAAUUAUCUUAUGAUAUUGCAGGUCUAAGGCAGUACCGUUCUGUGGCAAGUAUAAAUUAAAAAUAUUCACAGGAACAUUCAGGGUAACGAAGAUGUCUACAUGGUUAUUUGUUACUAAUUAGUUACUACCCAUUCGGCUGAUACCUCAAUUAGGAAUAUUGUAAUUGUAAUUAACUUCCACAGCCGAUUAACCUCCAAGCAGUUUUCAUAUUUUGUUCUUUUGUUGUAAAUGUAUUUUUUUACGUUUUAGGAUAGUGGCGCUGGGAUGUUGAUGACGAAAUCUGAUUUUUCAUGUUUAUCAAUAAUAAUAAUAAAAAAAAGAACAACCAAAGUUCAUUGAGGGGGAAGAACUCAGCAUUAAAAACUAUAUUUCUCAGUAAUGUAGAAGUUAUUUCCAUUCGAUAUCCAUCAAAGUAAUUAAUUAUCAAGAUCUUUUCCUUGACUUUCGUCUAUAAGGUGUUUCUUGGGUCUGACUGCCUCUUCAAACUCAAUGUGUCCUAAGGAAAGCUUCCAUCUGGCAUGCGGUUGAUAUGUCCUAGCCAACGUAGUCUUUGCGUCAAAAUAGAAUAGAUACUGCGCGUACUGGCCAAAUUCAAAACUUACUGAUAAAGAUAACUCAAGUUACUAUAUUUGGAAAGUAAAAUUACAUUGAUCAAAUGUGUAUUAUCUAUAAAACUUAAAAUCACAUUUCUAUUUAAAAUCAGAUCGUUUAACUGGACCAGCGUCUUAUUCGGACCAAAUUCUAAAUUACCGAAACGAAUCCUGUUUACAGUCCGAUCCGUUUAAUUGGACCAGCCGCUUAUUAGGACCAAAACGAUCUCGUCCCGAUGUGGUCCAAUUAUAGUAGUCCACUGUAGAUCAGUCAACACAUCUCUUUUCAUGUUGGUAUAAAGAGAGCACAAGUUAAGCCUAGAAAGGUUGUUAUUACAUAACUCUUGUUUUAUUGUUUUGUGUGACCGCAUUGCAAUGUGACGAAGUGGCAGUAUUAAGACUAAUUGUCCACUGCCACUCUACACUGCCCUAUAUCUUAUAAUUGAUAUUCUGCAUAAGUGUUCUUAACCAAGCAACUUCAAACUGGCACGCUUCGUUACUUCAAUGACCCUGCAUGGCAACUAUUUGGAAGUUGGGCCACAUGCGUCCCUUUCAGUUCAUGGAUGCGGCCCGCGUGGAGGAGGAUGUCAUAUUUUCAUCCGUGAACAGCUAAUUAUGAAACAUUUUUAUUUUUCAGACAUUAAAAUUUGCUUUCUUUCAUAGAUAUUUUCCCUAAAAGAAUGAAAAGAUUAAAAGAUUUAAUACGAAGGUAGAAAAAAAAAGUGUUAGCCGAACUUAAUAUUGAGUGUUUGGCCUCUAGAUGUAGAAAAAGCUGCUCGACUCUUCUUCUUAUUUUUUUUUUUUAUAGAUGUUAACUGUUAGAUAUGUAGAUGUAGAAAAACCUGGUAAGUUUCGAAACACGUUAACUGUCAUUUAAUGUAUUUCUAAACUUUGUACAUUUCUUUUUAGCUUGCUAGACUUGAAGAUUGAAUAAUUAAAAUAUUACUGGAUUUCUACUUUCAUUUAGUUAAUGCCAUUUUCUUGUCAGAUAUAAGCUUUUUUUUUAUAAAAAGAGAUUGUUUAUGAAAUCUAAAAUUUCUUGUCCAUCUUGCUUUUGUCAAGACUUUUUAAGCUUCUUUAGCGCUGUUCAUAGACACUAAAAUAGUUGAAUUUAUAUUUAAAUCUAUAUUCUAUUUAAUCAUUAACAUCAGAAGUUACUAAUUAAACGAUCCAUUAAGAAGGUUACAAGUCAAGAUCAAUAAAAUAUUUUAAAAAAAAUGAAAUUUGCUGCAAGAAUAAUGCAUUUUUUUUUAAUUGGUCAUUCAAACUUAUGAUUUAAACAUCAUUAUUAUUGUCAUGUGACAGUUAUAUUUUGUAAACUUUAGAACAAAGUAAUUUCUACCAAGCUAACUCUGUCUGUUAAAAUAAUUGUUAACGCUAUUUCUCCCUCACGCAUUCUUCCAUCUAGUUGAUACUUUAAACAAUUAUUUAUUGUACCUAACAAAACAUGAAAAAAUACUCCAUCAAUUAAUUAAUUAUUGGUAUUAUUAUUUUGUUUGAUAUCAAAAAAGGGAAUUAACUUUUAUAUUUUGGAAGAUAUAGUUUUAAGGUCGAAAUUCUUCCCCUUUAGAUAAGUUAAAUUAUUUAUUUUGCUUGUUUCAUCUUGUCAUUCAAAUGUUUUUCUAGAAUUCUUUGUAAGCCGUGAAGACCUUAUAAUAUGACCAUAUAGUUUAAGUUUGCGUUUUUUUUUUUACAGUAGUUAGUUGGUUAUCGUGGGGUCCAAUCGCUGUUUCUUGUUUCAAAUCUCUUCGUUUGUGAUGCGGCCUUGUAUGAAAUACCUAGGAUCUUUUUGUAGCAUCUCAAUUCCAUUGCUAGGAUCCUCCUAUCAAGUUCUGUAGUCAGCGUCCGAGAUUCGCAAGCAUAUAAGAAUGUGGCCUGGGAACGUUUCAGUCUGAUUUUAGUGUUGAGGGAUACGCCUUUGUCUUUAAAAAUUGUUUUGAAUUUUUCAAGUGCUGCUGUAGAAUUAUACAGAAGAACAGCACACAAUAGUAUAUAAAAGUAUGGGGUUUAAUUAUAUCUUCUUUUUUCUCAUUAUUUUAUUUCUCUUUAGCGUUUUCUACAAUAUAUUUUCUUAAAGAUACACACAAAUUGUAGGCUGAAAGCCUAUUGAAAAUAUUUUUUUUAAUAAAAAAAAAUUGUGCAUACAUUGUGUAAAAUUAAUGCAAUUUUAAACUCUAUUUAAGAUUUUCUGGUUGAGGCUAUCAGGACAUCUUAAAUGUGACGCAUUCGACCUUAGCUCGCUCCUAAUCGUAAAUGCCUGCCCUAAUCAAUAUUAAGAAAAAAAAAUACAAAUCUAGGAAAGGCUGUAUAAAAUUCGUUGCGAUUUAUCGCAAAGAGGCAAAAUAAUUACGUCAUCGAGGACGAAUUAUGUGGGCGUUCCCUCGCAGCUGAGAUGGCUAAAUGGUGACGGCUAAUUCCGUGUCAGUGGUGCUCAACCUACGACCCCCGGGCCAAACGUGAAGCGGUGCUAUCGAGUCUCUCCAAAGUUCAUACUAAAGACACACCUUCCAUUAGAUUCGACGAAUUUAUUAUUAUAUUCUUUCGGCUAUAAUGCGAAAUGACUCUUUUGGAUUUUUUAAAAUAUAUUUAAGCCUGCAGGGCAAGCAGCUUUGGGUACCACUGCUCUGUGUCAUUCUGACUUAAGAUUGUCCAUUGCUGAAUAUAUUAUCGACACUGUUAUUAAGUUGACUCUGGUUGCUCGGUAAAUAGACCUCUUUCCUUUGCUUGUCAAGAGUUAAACGACCAGACAUACAACGUGAUAUAAUUACAUACUCAUUGAUCACCAUUAGUGUCAUUGGCUAACAAUUUCCUCAAAUCAAGCAGUUCACUCAUUGGUGGUCAUUAAGUACAUUAGCAUAUUACGUGAAGACCUGGGUUAGCUAUAAGUACCAGACGUUAACAGUAGAACACCAAGAAGCGGCCUCAAGGAGACUUCUGUACACAUCAGCAGGCACUGUCUUAGGUUACCUUUAUAUCUACCACUACUUAAAACUUGAAGCACCAUGAUCUUCCUCCUCCAAACACUAUGUGUGUUGUCCGCGUGGGAGAUGACCGCACUGGCCACCUCCAACUGGAACCAAGAGGCCAGAGAUUACAUCCUGGAGAUUCACAACGACAAGAGGCGGGGAGAAGGUGGAUG
This is an RNA transcript of Biomphalaria glabrata, 7674 nucleotides long. It is a transcript of the gene named GLIPR1-like protein 1, with no coding region annotated. NCBI's taxonomy places the organism in Eukaryota, Metazoa, Mollusca, Gastropoda, Planorbidae. The transcript has 6 exons. The record is from RefSeq and is a predicted model, not a curated record.